GAUGAACGCUGGCGGCGUGCCUAAUACAUGCAAGUCGAGCGAACAGACGAGGAGCUUGCUCCUCUGACGUUAGCGGCGGACGGGUGAGUAACACGUGGAUAACCUACCUAUAAGACUGGGAUAACUUCGGGAAACCGGAGCUAAUACCGGAUAAUAUAUUGAACCGCAUGGUUCAAUAGUGAAAGACGGUUUUGCUGUCACUUAUAGAUGGAUCCGCGCCGCAUUAGCUAGUUGGUAAGGUAACGGCUUACCAAGGCGACGAUGCGUAGCCGACCUGAGAGGGUGAUCGGCCACACGGGAACUGAGACACGGUCCAGGCUCCUACGGGAGGCAGGAGUAGGGAAUCUGCCGGAAGGGGCGAAAGCCUGACGGAGCAACGCCGCGUGAGUGAUGAAGGUCUUCGGAUCGUAAAACUCUGUUAUUAGGGAAGAACAAAUGUGUAAGUAACUAUGCACGUCUUGACGGUACCUAAGCAGAAAGCCACGGCUAACUACGG
This 496-nucleotide ribosomal RNA is filed under the name uncultured bacterium. Its description in RNAcentral is "partial 16S ribosomal RNA". It matches the Rfam family "Bacterial small subunit ribosomal RNA", at positions 28 to 506 of the family's 1533-position model. The record is from RNAcentral.